RNAcentral lists this ribosomal RNA (224 nucleotides) under uncultured bacterium. Its description in RNAcentral is "partial 16S ribosomal RNA". It matches the Rfam family "Bacterial small subunit ribosomal RNA", at positions 326 to 539 of the family's 1533-position model. The record is from RNAcentral.
ACGCUCGACACCUACGGGAAGCAGCAGUAGGGAAUCUUCCACAAUGGACGCAAGUCUGAUGGAGCAACGCCGCGUGAGUGAAGAAGGUUUUCGGAUCGUAAAGCUCUGUUGUUGGUGAAGAAGGAUAGAGGUAGUAACUGGCCUUUAUUUGACGGUAAUCAACCAGAAAGUCACGGCUAACUACGUGCCUAGCAGCCGCGGUAAUCUGAGCGGGCUGGCAAGGC